This 460-nucleotide ribosomal RNA is filed under the name uncultured bacterium. Its description in RNAcentral is "partial 16S ribosomal RNA". It matches the Rfam family "Bacterial small subunit ribosomal RNA", at positions 338 to 795 of the family's 1533-position model. The record is from RNAcentral.
CCUACGGGGGGCAGCAGUGAGGAAUAUUGGUCAAUGGACGAAAGCCUGAACCAGCCAAGUAGCGUGAAGGAUGACUGCCCUAGGGGUUGUAAACUUCUUUUAUAAAGGAAUAAAACGUGGCACGUGUCCCUUUUUGCAUGUACUUUAUGAAUAAGGCUCGGCUAACUCCGUGCCAGCAGCCGCGGUAAUACAGAGGAUCCGAGCGUUAUCCGGAUUUAUUGGGUUUAAAGGGAUCGUAGGUGGGUUGUUAGGUCAGUUGUGAAAGUUUGGGGCUCAACCGUAAAACUGCAGUUGAUACUGGCAGUCUUGAGUGCAUUAGAGGUAAGCGGAAUGCGUGGUGUAGCGGUGAAAUGCUUAGAUAUCACGAAGAACUCCGAUUGCGAAGGCAGCUUACUGAGCUGGAACUGACGCUGAUGCACGAAAGUGUGGGGAUCAAACAGGAUUAGAUACCCUUGUAGUC